Molecule: non-coding RNA, 72 nt
Organism: Podarcis lilfordi (Lilford's wall lizard)
Lineage: Eukaryota; Metazoa; Chordata; Lepidosauria; Squamata; Lacertidae
Source: the annotation of a GenBank genome assembly
AGGGGCUUAGCUCAGUGGCAGAGCGACUGCUUGGCAUUCAGAACAUCCUGGGUUCAAUCCCCAAGGUCUCCA